GCAAGUCGAGUGCGCGCCUGUAGCAAUACAGGUGGCGCACGGCGCACGGGUGCGUAACACGUGGGUAAUCUGCCCUCUGAUGGGGAAUAACUCGCCGAAAGGCGAGCUAAUUCCGCAUAAUAUUCCGAGAACCUCGGUUUUUGGACUGAAAGGCGUAAGUCGUCGGAGGAGGAGCCCGCGCACGAUUAGCUAGUUGGUAGGGUAAUGGCCUACCAAGGCUUUGAUCGUUAGCUGGUCUGAGAGGAUGGCCAGCCACACUGGAACUGAGACACGGUCCAGACUCCUACGGGAGGCAGCAGUGGGGAAUCUUGCACAAUGGGCGAAAGCCUGAUGCAGCGACGCCGCGUGGGGGAUGAAGCUUCUCGGAGUGUAAACCCCUUUCGAUCCGGACGAAUGCCCGCAAGGGAUUGACGGUACGGAUAUAAGAAGCCCCGGCUAACUACGUGCCAGCAGCCGCGGUAAUACGUAGGGGGCCAGCGUUGUUCGGAAUUACUGGGUGUAAAGGGUUCGUAGGCGGUGCGGCAAGUUGGGAGUAAAAUCUCUGGGCUCAACCCAGAGACGGCUUCCAAAACUGCUGUGCUUGAGUGUGAGAGAGGCUCGUGGAAUUGCAGGUGUAGCGGUGAAAUGCGU
RNAcentral lists this ribosomal RNA (630 nucleotides) under uncultured Bacillota bacterium. RNAcentral's name for it is "bacterial SSU rRNA". It matches the Rfam family "Bacterial small subunit ribosomal RNA", at positions 57 to 691 of the family's 1533-position model. Lineage: Bacteria; Bacillati; Bacillota. The record is from RNAcentral.